Molecule: long non-coding RNA, 228 nt
Filed under: Elaeis guineensis (African oil palm)
Lineage: Eukaryota; Viridiplantae; Streptophyta; Magnoliopsida; Arecales; Arecaceae
Description: long non-coding RNA (EGUI_LNC019126)
Source: RNAcentral
UGGAUUUGUCGCAUGUGUAGAUCCGACCGUACUGUCGGAUGAUCCGAUGUCAGACGCCUCAUGAAUGCCCAGCGAUCCGGACGUCCAGUCGAUGUCAGAGGUCACGUCGGCGUCAGGUGAUCGGGCGCCGGACGAUACGGCGUCAGUCGAUCGGAUAUUCGGCGCCGAUUGCGGGAGAGAGGGCCGCUGUCAGGCGUCCCAUCGGGAACGCGAACCGGCGCGGACGCG